UACAGAGGUCCCGAGCGUUGUUCGGAUUUAUUGGGCGUAAAGGGUGCGUAGGCGGCGGAGUAAGUUGGGUGUGAAAUCCCGGGGCUCAACCUCGGAAUUGCAUUCAAUACUGCUUCGCUCGAGUACUGGAGAGGAGGCUGGAAUUUACGGUGUAGCAGUGAAAUGCGUAGAUAUCGUAAGGAAGGCCGGUGGCGAAAGCGAGCCUCUGGACAGUUACUGACGCUGAUGCACGAAGGCCAGGGAGCAAACGGG
This 252-nucleotide ribosomal RNA is filed under the name uncultured bacterium. RNAcentral's name for it is "partial 16S ribosomal RNA". It matches the Rfam family "Bacterial small subunit ribosomal RNA", at positions 524 to 776 of the family's 1533-position model. The record is from RNAcentral.